RNAcentral lists this small nucleolar RNA (95 nucleotides) under Microcebus murinus (gray mouse lemur). RNAcentral's name for it is "Small nucleolar RNA SNORD116 (ENSMICG00000021851.3)". It matches the Rfam family "Small nucleolar RNA SNORD116". From Rfam's summary of the family: HBII-85 is a member of the C/D class of snoRNAs, which contain the C (UGAUGA) and D (CUGA) box motifs. HBII-85 is encoded in a tandemly repeated array with another C/D snoRNA, HBII-52, in the Prader-Willi syndrome (PWS) region of chromosome 15. Unlike most other snoRNAs, HBII-85 is expressed prevalently in the brain (but is absent in PWS patients) and lacks any significant complementarity with ribosomal RNA. The record is from Rfam by way of RNAcentral. Lineage: Eukaryota; Metazoa; Chordata; Mammalia; Primates; Cheirogaleidae.
GGAUCGAUGGUGACUUGCACGUGUGUCUUCCCCGUUGGAAAGCUGAACAAAAUGGGUGCAAACUCUGUAGCGUCAUCCCCUUCAAAGUGAGGUCC